Molecule: non-coding RNA, 30 nt
Filed under: Rattus norvegicus (Norway rat)
Lineage: Eukaryota; Metazoa; Chordata; Mammalia; Rodentia; Muridae
Source: RNAcentral
UCCUCCUUGGAUGGAUACUAACCAACAAAG